AGCGGCGGACGGGUGAGUAAUGUCUGGGAAACUGCCUGAUGGAGGGGGAUAACUACUGGAAACGGUAGCUAAUACCGCAUAACGUCGCAAGACCAAAGAGGGGGACCUUCGGGCCUCUUGCCAUCAGAUGUGCCCAGAUGGGAUUAGCUAGUAGGUGGGGUAAUGGCUCACCUAGGCGACGAUCCCUAGCUGGUCUGAGAGGAUGACCAGCCACACUGGAACUGAGACACGGUCCAGACUCCUACGGGAGGCAGCAGUGGGGAAUAUUGCACAAUGGGCGCAAGCCUGAUGCAGCCAUGCCGCGUGUGUGAAGAAGGCCUUCGGGUUGUAAAGCACUUUCAGCGAGGAGGAAGGUGGUGAACUUAAUACGUUCAUCAAUUGACGUUACUCGCAGAAGAAGCACCGGCUAACUCCGUGCCAGCAGCCGCGGUAAUACGGAGGGUGCAAGCGUUAAUCGGAAUUACUGGGCGUAAAGCGCACGCAGGCGGUUUGUUAAGUCAGAUGUGAAAUCCCCGGGCUCAACCUGGGAACUGCAUUUGAAACUGGCAAGCUAGAGUCUCGUAGAGGGGGGUAGAAUUCCAGGUGUAGCGGUGAAAUGCGUAGAGAUCUGGAGGAAUACCGGUGGCGAAGGCGGCCCCCUUGGACGAAGACUGACGNNNNNNNNNNNNNNNNGUGGGGAGCAAACAGGAUUAGAUACCCUGGUAGUCCACGCUGUAAACGAUGUCGAUUUGGAGGUUGUGCCCUUGAGGCGUGGCUUCCGGAGCUAACGCGUUAAAUCGACCGCCUGGGGAGUACGGCCGCAAGGUUAAAACUCAAAUGAAUUGACGGGGGCCCGCACAAGCGGUGGAGCAUGUGGUUUAAUUCGAUGCAACGCGAAGAACCUUACCUACUCUUGACAUCCAGAGAACUUUCCAGAGAUGGAUUGGUGCCUUCGGGAACUCUGAGACAGGUGCUGCAUGGCUGUCGUCAGCUCGUGUUGUGAAAUGUUGGGUUAAGUCCCGCAACGAGCGCAACCCUUAUCCUUUGUUGCCAGCGGUUCGGCCGGGAACUCAAAGGAGACUGCCAGUGAUAAACUGGAGGAAGGUGGGGAUGACGUCAAGUCAUCAUGGCCCUUACGAGUAGGGCUACACACGUGCUACAAUGGCAUAUACAAAGAGAAGCGACCUCGCGAGAGCAAGCGGACCUCAUAAAGUAUGUCGUAGUCCGGAUUGGAGUCUGCAACUCGACUCCAUGAAGUCGGAAUCGCUAGUAAUCGUAGAUCAGAAUGCUACGGUGAAUACGUUCCCGGGCCUUGUACACACCGCCCGUCACACCAUGGGAGUGGGUUGCAAAAGAAGUAGGUA
Molecule: ribosomal RNA, 1343 nt
Filed under: Serratia sp. I17
Lineage: Bacteria; Pseudomonadati; Pseudomonadota; Gammaproteobacteria; Enterobacterales; Yersiniaceae
Description: bacterial SSU rRNA
Rfam family: Bacterial small subunit ribosomal RNA
Source: RNAcentral